This 497-nucleotide ribosomal RNA is filed under the name uncultured bacterium. Its description in RNAcentral is "partial 16S ribosomal RNA". It matches the Rfam family "Bacterial small subunit ribosomal RNA", at positions 28 to 507 of the family's 1533-position model. The record is from RNAcentral.
GAUGAACGCUGGCGGCGUGCCUAAUACAUGCAAGUCGAGCGAACGGACGAGAAGCUUGCUUCUCUGAUGUUAGCGGCGGACGGGUGAGUAACACGUGGAUAACCUACCUAUAAGACUGGGAUAACUUCGGGAAACCGUAGCUAAUACCGGAUAAUAUUUUGAACCGCAUGGUUCAAAAGUGAAAGACGGUCUUGCGGUCACGUAUAGAUGGAUCCGCGCUGCAUUAGCUAGUUGGUAAGGUAACGGCUUACCAAGGCAACGAUGCAUAGCCGAACUGAGAGGGUGAUAGGCCACACUGGAGGUGAGACACGGUCCAGACUCCUACGGGACGGAGCAGUAGGGAAUCUGCCGCAGUGGGCGAAAGCCUGACGGAGCAACGCCGCGCGAGUGAUGAAGGUCUUCGGAUCGUAAAACUCUGUUAUUAGGGAAGAACAUAUGUGUAAGUAACUGUGCACAGCGUGACGGUACCUAAUCAGAAAGCCACGGCUAACUACGUG